Molecule: long non-coding RNA, 7950 nt
Organism: Mytilus californianus (California mussel)
Lineage: Eukaryota; Metazoa; Mollusca; Bivalvia; Mytilida; Mytilidae
Exons: 3
Source: RefSeq, a predicted model, not a curated record
AUGUAUAUCAAUAACAACACACAGGUAUUUUGACGCAUAGUCUGUGUAAUACCUAAAUGAUACGUAGUUAGCAUUAAAUAGUAAGUACAUAUGUGCUAGUCAGUGGGGAUGUUUGAAAUUUGUAAGAUUUGGUAGUUACAAAUUUCAAUUCAAAACAUCAACUAUCAUACAUGUAUUUAUCGGAGACAUAUAAUACACAUCUCUGUAUGAACCAAUAACUAUCCUACAGAAGAACAUUAAGGAAGUAUAUGAAAUGACACAGAUUGUUUGAAAUCCAUUUAUGGGAAAUUGUAUAAAGAAAUGUCGUCAUUAUGGCAAUGAUUCUAUAUUUGAAAUUUCUGACAUUUUUGAUCUCCAAAGAUCCCUUGAUUUACUGCGUGAACAGACCAGCAAUGAUUCCAGUUAUACAGAAAGUACUUUAAGAAGUACACACUCCGUUGGGCAACCUCCGUCAAUACUGUCGUUUCAAAACGAGGAUGAAAAUGCUACUGUAUACAUUGACAGUGACGUGUGUUUAAUAUGCUUAGACCAAUAUGAUGACGAAGAACGCAAGCCGAUCAUUCUACCAUGCGGACACAUACUUUGUACCGCAUGUGUCAGGAUUAUGGCACAAAAACGUGGAUACAAGUCCAUUAAAUGUCCUGUUGAUAGGGAAAAGCACGAUAUCAGACAGGCCAGUAUACCAGAGGAAAACGAUGAAACGUAUUCAACUACAACCACAUCGACAGAAAAUAAUUUUCAAAUACCGAGGAUAAUCCAGAUGAAUGACUUGCAAGUACAAUUACAACAGAUAAGGCUGACAAAUGAAACCGAACCAAUUCCGGACUACACUCCACCUUCGACGCCAUAAAAAUGAAAUCUGCAUGGUCAAUUCAUUCAUGAUAAAGAGUCUUGUGUAUUUGCAAAUUGACGAAUAACAAUUAGAGAUUUUAAAAUCGUUGCAAUAACCAAGUCAGAUUUAUAUUAAUUAUUAUAUUUAUAAUUUCCUUCCCUAAAAUCCAAUGGUUAUUUAAAUAUUUACAUCGCAACAGAUAACAUGAAAAUUGCACAACUAAACUUUGUUCUUGUUUCAACUAUUUGACCAGUCUAUUGAAAUUCAAGAUUCUUAUUCAUAUCUAGGACUAACUUUUAAUUACAAUGGUUCAUUUGCUACAGCAAAAAAAAAAACGCUUAAGCGAACAAGCACAGAAAGCACUAUUUGGCCUUUAUACAAAGAAACGUAACCUAUCUAUACCUGUCGACUUGCAAUAACUGUUUGAUACACUUAUUCUUCCCAUUCUGACAUAUGAGUGUGAAAUAUGGGGAUUCGGAAACAAUUAUAUGCUGUAAAAUCCAUCUACCGUUUUGCCGAAAUUGUUAAAAAUUAGAUCCUCGACACCAAAUUUUAUGACAUAUGGAGAACUUGGUCGUACAUCAAUAUAUAUAUAUUAAUCAAAGUUAGAAUGGUGUGUUUUUGGAAUAAACUUCUCUCCAAUGAAAACAAACUAAGCAGUAUCCUGUUUAUACGUUCAAGCGGAUUGACUAUCUCUUAAAUCGAUUGUAUACAAUUCUGGACUUAGCUAUGUUUCGACUUAGGUAUGUUUGGACUCAGCAAUUGCCAUUAGAUGUUAAUCAAUUAGAGGAGAAUUUUACGGUCUGUUCAAAACAAUGUUUUGUUUAGAAAAGUAUGUUUUACAAUUAUCACCCAUCGAAGGUGAAUAUAUCUAAAUUAAGAUGCUGUAAUGGGAAAAUUCCAGUAGAGCUGAGUAGGUGGUACAGAUCUGUACAAUAUUCCGAAAGAAGAGAGGGUAUGUCAUAUGUAUAAAAAGAAGAUGUGGUAUGAUUGCCAAUGAGACAACUCUCCACAAGACACCAAAUGACACAGAAAUUAACAACUAUAGGCCACGGUACGGCCUUCAAUAAUGAGCAAAGCUCAUACCGCAUAGUCGGCUAUAAAAAGCCCCGAAAUGACAAAUAUAAAACAAUUCAAACGAGAAAACUAACGGCCUAAAUUAUGUAAAAAAUAAUGAACGAAAAACAAAUAUGAUACACAGCAACAAACGACAACCACUUAAUCACAGGCUCCUGACUUGGGACAUGCACAUACAGAAUGUGGCGGGGUUAAACUAGUUUGACGGCGCCAACCCGCCCCCUAACCUGGGACAGUGGUGUAAUAGUACAACAUAAGAACAAUCGGACGUGGAUGGGUACUUAUACAUCCCCACAACAAAAAGACACUAAGUACAGAUCUGAGAGUACUCGCAGUUACUGACAGCUAGUUCAAAGCCAAUAACAACUAAUAAAAAAAGUCAUGCAUCUAAGACUAAAAUUUUAAUCAUAACACAUCCAACAUCCAAUGGAUUUAGUAUAUAGAAGUCAUAAACAGCCAGAGAAAAACAUGACCUUGUGCAAUGCCAAGAUACAAGUAUCGACAGAUUGUAGAGCCAUGAAUGUGCAUAUGUAUAUAAAAAUAAUGUUUAGUUUGAAUUUAAUUUAUUGAUAACAAAAUCAAUAUUAAGGUCGAUAUAAACAAUAUUCAAAGAUCUAAUUACAGUGUUGAAUUGGUAACCUUUUAGAACAAGUUUAUUAAAAGGAUCGAUAAGUUUACCCGGAUCAUUUCUAAAUUUCCGGGCUCGGUAAACAACAUCUCCGUUAAAAAGAGGAUGUGCUAUCCCGUUUGAAAUAAGUUUUCUACAGGUACAACCAAACUUCAAAAUCAAAUCUUUAUAUCUAUGGAAGAAUUUAGUAAAGAUUUUAAGUAAUUUGUGGUAACGAAAUCCCUGACUUAAUAAUUUACCAGUAAUAUAUAGAUUACGUUCAUUGAAAUCCAAAACGUCACAACAGACACGGGCAUAGCGAACCAGUUGUGAUAUAUAAACACCAUAAGAUGGUGCCAAAGGAACAUCAUCGUCCAAAAAAGGAAAAUUAACAAUAGGGAACGCAAAAUCGUCCCUUUCGUCAUAAAUUAUAGUGUACCGUCUCCCGUGUAAAACUAAACUAUAUGUUUGAAUGCUAUUGGUAAUGAAUACCAUUACUUAUUCGAUUGCUCUCAUUGGGUAAUAUAAAGAUACUAAAAUGUAUCUUUAUUUGUUUCAAAGUUGAUUAAACUAUUAUAAAGUAUAGUAAUUAUUAAUAUAUUUCAUUUUAGAGUUGUUUUAUUUCUUUCUAUGAUCGUAUGUGAUAGUAUUUUGUAUAUGUGUACCUCUUGUUUCAUAUGUGAAUAUGACAGAGUGUUUUUAAAUAAAGCAUAUUGUAUAUUAUAUACAAUUUUGAAUUGUGAAGCUCUUGUACAAUAACUAAAUGUUGUAUACUUGUUGUAUUCAGAGUAUCAAGUGAGAGUUUUGGUACAGCAGAGUCAAAUAUCAUACAGUUUGGUUCGAGAAAUGCUUAAAUCUUUCUUUAAAGUAUGAAAAUAAACUAUUGUAUUGACUUCUUUUAAUACGAAUCUAAACAUUUUAAGAUAGGUAUAAACUGACCUGUAGAAAUCACGAUCUUGUGGAAAAUAUAUAGAUUUGUCUCAAAAUCCAAGUUAUCGUUUCACAUUUUCUUACUGCUUUACAAACUAUGAUAAUUUUGGCCAGACUAUUUUGGUAAAUAUCAAUUAUCAAAAACAAAUCCCUUUAAUUUCGCUGCGCUUACUCGAUACAAAUCUACAUAUUGUGACUUGCAGUUGAUAUAUUAUAGUAUCAGUAUACAAGAAACCUGAUAAUCCCAAAAUAAAGGUUGAUAUCCUAAAAUUGAACGGAGAGAUAAUAAAACCUAGUCUAAAUAUUGGUGACGUCACAGAACUUUAGAAUUGUUUUAUGAUGGGAGGAUUUUGCAUCAUUUCAAAGUGCAUACAAAAUGAAUUUGCAAAUUAGCGCGAAGAAAGUGUAUGCCUGUAAGAGGGAACUUCAGCAAAAUGCAAGAACAACCGGCUCAAUCUAAACCAUACCUAUUUUUGUUUGAGCCACGCGUUUUCCGAAAAAAAGGCAAAUUUGUUCCAUUUGUAGUAUUGACUGUAUGUGAGAUUGAAGCGGGAUUACAUUUUCCGCAAACUACUAAAGUAUAAAAAAAACACAGAAUGACUGCUAUCUCAAAAUACGUCGCGGUACUCUAGACUUGCUCCGUUAAUACCCUCUCUAAUUAGACUUAUUUUUGAUAUUGCAGUAAUGUAUUUGUAUAUGCAAGAGGAUAUACAUAUACAUACAUGUAUAUGUGUGUUUAACAAGUCAGGAUUUUACUUCGCCAAAAUUAUCUCUCCAUUGCGCCACUUAUUUUUUUCAAUCAUGAAAAUGGAAGCCAGUGUAUAUAAUAAUACUUUUAUUCAGAAGCAAUACAGCUUAUAGAAUAUACAUUUUUACAUCAAAUUUUUAAAUGCAUCAGUGUAAUAUUAAUAACAAUAAUUAUACAAAAUACACAUAUGGCGGAGAAUGACAAUAAAUUCAUAUGAUAAAUAAGGAAUACAACUACAAAAUGUACGUAUUACGGAUUUUGUCGAUGUUGAACAAAAAUUUACCUAAAUUAUUAAGUUCUUUCACAUUGUGAACUGAUAACAACUGUAUAAAUUUAAAAGUGGAUGGUUUUUGCCAAUAUUAUUUCUUAAUAUAUUGUUUUCUUACAUCAUUAUAUCUAUUACAUUCUAAAAUAAAAUGGUAUUCGUCUUCAACAAUAUUGCUAUUGCACAUAGUACAUAAUCUAUUUUCUCUAUCUACAUUGUAAUAUCUGCCUGUCUCGACAUUGAGGCUAUGGGCAGAGAUACCAUAUUUACAUAUAUAAGGUUUAUAUAUUUGAUUAACAGGUCUAUCUAAAUAAAGUUGCAAUAUACCUGUGUCAUAUAUAUAUAUCUAUAAAGUAUACAUUUAGAUGAAUUGUUAAAAAACGCAUUAACAUUAGUGAUAAAGGUAUCUUUCAUUCGUUAUUUUAGCUCAUGUAUAAAUAUAUCAACAUUUUUUACGCUUUGGUUUAGCCAUACAUCAUGAAAACCAUAUUUACAAAAAAUAUCUCUGACUGAACAUGCCCAAUUCAAUUUGUCUUUGGGUUUUUUAAAUGAACUCUCCAACAUAUCUUCAUAACAUGCUUUUAAUAUACAGUUAUCAGUAUCUAAUAAUUUAAACCAAAAGUGAAUCAUUUUUCUUUGUCUUUCAUAAUACAUGUAAGGAUGACGCUCUGUUAAUUUAUCUUCUUGAAAACCGAUAAAUGUAUCCACAUGGUUGCAUUACGAUCCUUAUAUGACAGAUGUAUUUUAAAAGACAAAUGUAUCUUCUAGCUAUAAAUUAUCAUUUAAUGUACUUUUAGUAUAAAUAUAAAAUUAAGAAGAUGUGGUAAGAUCAAUGAGACAUCUCUCCACCAGAGACAAAAUGACAUAGAAGUUAACAACUAUAGGUCACCGUACGGCCUUCAACAAUGAGCAAAAUCCAUACCGCAUAGUAAGCUAUAAAAGGCACCGAAAUGAAAAAUGUAAAAUAUUUCAAACGAGAAAACUAACGACCUGAUUUAUGUACAAAGCAAUAAACGAAAAACAAAUAUGAUAUACAGCAACAUACGAUUCCACUGAAUUAUGCAGGCUCUUGACUUUGAACAGGUAUAUACAGAAAAAAAAUAAUAAUGGAUUAAAUUGUCAAUAAUUUCUACAGAUUUUUUCGUUUGAAAAAGAAUAAUGUACAUAAUUAAAUUUUAUAUGUUAUAGCAAAAUGUUCAAAUCACAAUUCAUAUUACGUGUGAUACUGUUUGUUUGCGGCCUGUGUAUUAUUUUUAGAAAGUGAUUAUUGAGUUAUGUCGCUUUGUACAAACAUUUCAAUAUUCUUAAAAAUGUAAACAUGUCAUUUGUCAGUUCGGAACAUUACCGUGCAUUUGAUUUAUUAACAACUUUCUCAAUAACAUGUAUUCCCAACAAUCAAACCACGCCUGUAUAAUUUUUAAAUUUCAAAGUUGACGCAGGUUAAGUAUUUACAACAGAGAAUUCGUAGAUGUACAUCAUCCAAAAUGAAUAGCAGAGCGCGACAAGCCCCGCCCCUGUUUGCUUCUGCUUUGUAAAUGGAGCACGAGGAGAUGAAUUGGGGAGGUGUAUGAGGUAACAUUUACAAUUUAUGCACUGUUCAUACUGGGGACUAUAUUUAAAGGCAAAGACAACGAAUCGAAUAGUGAUUCCUGGGCAAGUACUGGGAUGUCAAAGAUACCCGCACACGCAUACUUACGUACGGGUAUUAACGCCUGAAAAGAAUUGUUUUUUUUUAUUGGAUAAAGUACACAGAUUACCUAUGAAAGAGUGAUGAGUGAGCUAUAUUUACACACAAAGAAGUCAUUGUUUUAUCACAUUUUGAAAUAGGACUGACACGUGAUGAGUCAAAAGCAACAGGUCUUGAUAAUAUCAAUGCAAAGUUUUUAAAAAUGUCAUCACACCUUAUUUCAGUUCCAUUAUGUCACAUUUUUAAUUUAAGCAUCAGAAAAUCAGUAUACCCAUCGUUAUUCUAACUGGCUAAAGGUAUACCAGUUUUUAAGAAUAAGGUUCGAAAAAUGAUAUAUUUAACUACAUACCUAUUGCAAUUUUACCAUUGAUAUCUAAAAUCCUUGAGCGACACGUAAAAACUCAUUUGAUGAAUUUUCUAAACAAGUAUAAUAUGUUGUGUGUCAUGCAAUCAGGCUUUUUUACAAACCAUUCCUGUCAAACUGCUAGAUAGAUAAAUGGUAAAAACCCAUUAAUGAAGGAAAUUUAGUAGGGGUAGUAUUUUUGGAUCUGUGUAAAGCUUUCGAUCUUCUAAAUCGUAAACUGCUCCUUUAAAAAUUACAAAAAUAUAAAUGUUCUUAUAAUUCACUUCAUUGGUUUACUUCAUAUUUGGCCUACAGGUCGUAUUCAUUUCAAAUACCUUUUCAAAUGUAACUACAUUAAAAGCAGGUGUACCUCAAGGGUCAGUUUUAGGUCCUAUAUUAUUCUUGAUAUUUAUUAAUGAUUUGCAUUUAUAUAAUCCUAAUCAUAACACUGAUCUUUUUGCUGAUGAUAGCACUAUUUCUGUGAUUGAAAAAGGCAAAAUGUAUAUAAGUCAGGCACUCAAUGCUGUAUUAGAAAAUAUUUGUCAUUGGUGUGAUGAAAACAAAAUGUUAAAUAAAGUAAAUGUGUCAAAAACAAAGACAAUGUGUAUACUGUCUGUCAUGUGUAAUGACACAUUAAAUAUAUCCAUUAAUGGCCAACAUAAUAAUGAGUCACUGUCCUUGGUAUUUUUGUUGAUGCAACUCUGUCUUGGUAUGAUCAUAUUAAUCAUAUUAUCAAAAAAGUUAAUUUUUCAUUAGCGUUAUUAAAAAGUAUCAAGAAAUGCUUGAAUCAUAAUGCACGAAUUCUGUUUUACAAUGCUUAUAUUCUUCCACAUUUGGAUUACUGUUGUUCAGUACGGGGAAACUGUAACGAGCUUUUCAUUGAUAAUUUACUAAAAUUGCAAAAAAGGGCAGCUAGAAUUUUUUUAAACGAACACGAUAUUCGUAAACCAUCUAUUGAACUAUUUAAGGAAUUAUUCUUACUAAGAGAAUACUUUACCACAAGUCAUUAUUAAUGCAUAAAUCAAAACAUGAACUGGCACCAAAAUAUUUAUCAAAUCUUAAUGUGCCUACAAAUAGUAAACAAUUGUACAAUACUCGACUUUCGUCAUCAGAUAAUUUUAUUGUCCCUGAAUUAAAUAUAGAAUUAUACAAAUCAAGUUUUUCUUUUAGUAGUCCAGAAGUUUGGAAUUCACUAUCCAGUGAAAUUAAAUAAUCAAAAACUGUAUCUGCAUUCAAAUACUCUUACAAGUCAUUAUUUUUUUUUAACAAAGUGUGAAAUUUAUAAGUUUAACCACAAUGUAUACUAUAGGUGUAUUAUUUUUGUCAUAUGUUGUUUAUAUUAGUGUAUUAGUAGAUUGAUUAUGUUUUAUUCAUGUAGUUAAUAUUGUAUGUAGAGAGUCGUAUUGCAAAUUGGUUUAAUCCAAAUGAGUUACUCUCUUUAAAUAAAGAUAUAUAUUAUUA